GAUUUUAUUUCUCACUCUACGGGUGUCAGAAAAAUAUGAAACUUGAAAUCUAGUCUCAUAAAAAUAUUUUUGACUUAUCCUCCAAUUUUCAUAAUUUUUUGAGACUGUGCAUUUUUUGCUAAUUUAUCUGUCCCGUUUCCAACAGAAAAUUCUAGAUCUUCUGUUUUCAUUCCGAUUUCAGCACAAGUCACUUCUGACUUAUAUUUUACUUCUAUAAAUCCAAUAAAAAUAGUUUCUCACACUAUUUUUAUUUAUUUUUAUUUUUAUACCAAAAUCUGAUAUGUUACAUUCCUAG
This 295-nucleotide long non-coding RNA is filed under the name Ananas comosus (pineapple). RNAcentral's name for it is "long non-coding RNA (ACOM_LNC019934)". The record is from RNAcentral. Lineage: Eukaryota; Viridiplantae; Streptophyta; Magnoliopsida; Poales; Bromeliaceae.